UACGUAGGGACCAAGCGUUGUUCGGAUUUACUGGGCGUAAAGGGCGCGUAGGCGGCUUAACAAGUCACUUGUGAAAUCUCCGGGCUUAACUCGGAACGGCCAAGCGAAACUGUCAAGCUAGAGUGCAGAAGGGGCAAUCGGAAUUCUUGGUGUAGCGGUGAAAUGCGUAGAUAUCAAGAGGAACACCUGAGGUGAAGACGGGUUGCUGGGCUGACACUGACGCUGAGGCGCGAAAGCCAGGGGAGCAAACGGG
Molecule: ribosomal RNA, 253 nt
Filed under: uncultured bacterium
Lineage: Bacteria
Description: partial 16S ribosomal RNA
Rfam family: Bacterial small subunit ribosomal RNA
Source: RNAcentral